This 393-nucleotide ribosomal RNA is filed under the name Nisitrus vittatus. RNAcentral's name for it is "partial 12S ribosomal RNA". Lineage: Eukaryota; Metazoa; Arthropoda; Insecta; Orthoptera; Gryllidae. The record is from RNAcentral.
UAUUAUUAUUAAGGUGAAUAUUAAUGCUAAGGUAGUAGUAGUUAUGUUCUUGAAACUUAAAGAAUUUGGCGGUGUUUUAGUCUUUUCAGAGGAAUCUGUUCUAUUAUUGAUAAUACACGAUUGGUUAAACUUAAUUUUGUGGUCAGUUUGUAUAUCGUCGUCAUAAGAAGAUUUUUGAAGAACUAAAAUUUUCUUUUCUUUUGAUUAAAAGUUAUGUCAGAUCAAGGUGCAGCUAAUAGUUAAGAAGUAAUGGAUUACAAUAAUUUUAAUUAUAAGGAUAACAUUUAUAAUUUUUGUUUGAAAGUGGAUUUGAUUGUAAGUUUAAAUCAAUUUUAUUCUGAUUUUGGCUCUAGAAUGUGUACAUAUCGCCCGUCGCUCUCAUUUUAUGGUGAG